Molecule: non-coding RNA, 197 nt
Filed under: Gracilibacillus ureilyticus
Lineage: Bacteria; Bacillati; Bacillota; Bacilli; Caryophanales; Bacillaceae
Description: 6S / SsrS RNA
Rfam family: 6S / SsrS RNA
About the family: E. coli 6S RNA was the first non coding RNA to be sequenced, but its function was unknown until recently. It consists of 184 nucleotides that fold into an extended hairpin structure with a large single-stranded internal bulge.
Source: Rfam by way of RNAcentral
ACAAUCCUGAUGUGUACGUCGGACAAAUGGCGUUUUGACCGAACACCAUUAACUACGGGAGCCUGAUGUUCUUAUAUCUAGUGCAUGCCACAUUACUUACGUAAUAAGAGUGGAAGCAUGAACUGUAAGACAGGGCACCCACCUGCCGAGAGCGGGUUCAAAACUUCAUCAACUGCGACGGCACGAUUGGGAUUGCC